CAAUAGCGUAUAUUAAAGUUGUUGCAGUUAAAAAGCUCGUAGUUGAACUUCUGUCUGUAUGUCGUCCCUACAAGGAAUCGAUAAGACGGACAUCCCCGACUGACGGUUUACAGAGCUUAAGUGUUCUUAUAACCUGAACCGGAUUUUACUUUGAAAAAUUAGAGUGUUUCAAGCAGGCGAUUUGCUGGAAUACAUUAGCAUGGAAUAAUAGAAGAUGACCACCACGCAUUUUAUUGGUAAUAUUGCGGGAGGUAAUGAUUAACAGGGACAGUUGGGGGCAUUAGUAUUUAAUUGUCAGAGGUGAAAUUCAUUGAUUAAUUAAAGACUAACUUAUGCGAAAGCAUUUGCCAAGGAUGUUUUCAUUAAUCAAGAACGAAAGUUAGGGGAUCAAAGACGAUCAGAUACCAU
This 408-nucleotide ribosomal RNA is filed under the name uncultured eukaryote. RNAcentral describes it as "bacterial SSU rRNA". It matches the Rfam family "Eukaryotic small subunit ribosomal RNA", at positions 592 to 1018 of the family's 1831-position model. The record is from RNAcentral.